This 345-nucleotide unclassified non-coding RNA is filed under the name soil metagenome. RNAcentral's name for it is "partial contains 5.8S ribosomal RNA, internal transcribed spacer 2, and large subunit ribosomal RNA". The stretch from base 1 to 120 matches the Rfam family "5.8S ribosomal RNA", at positions 35 to 154 of the family's 154-position model. The record is from RNAcentral.
GAUGAAGAACGCAGCGAAAUGCGAUAAGUAAUGUGAAUUGCAGAAUUCCGUGAAUCAUCGAAUUUUUGAACGCAUAUUGCGCCCCCUGGUAUUCCGGGGGGCAUGCCUGUCCGAGCGUCAUUGCUGCCCUCAAGCACGGCUUGUGUGUUGGGCCUCCGUCCUCCUCCCGGGGGACGGGCCCGAAAGGCAGCGGCGGCACCGCAUCCGGUCCUCGAGCGUAUGGGGCUUCGUCACCCGCUCUUGUAGGCCCGGCCGGCGCUUGCCGACACAUCAAUCUUUUUUCCAGGUUGACCUCGGAUCAGGUAGGGAUACCCGCUGAACUUAAGCAUAUCAAUAAGCGGAGGA